AAUCAACGCUGGCGGCGUGCCUCAGACAUGCAAGUCGAACGAUUAAAGCUCCCUUCGGGGAGUGCAUAGAGUGGCGCACGGGUGAGUAACACGUAAGUAAUCUACCUUUGAGUGGGGAAUAACGUUCGGAAACGGACGCUAAUACCGCAUAAUGCAGCGGCAUCGCAAGAUGACAGUUGUUAAAGGAGCAAUCCGCUUAAAGAGGAGCUUGCGGCAGAUAGCUUGUUGGUAAGGUAACGGCUUACCAAGGCUACGAUCUGUAUCCGGUCUAAGAGGACGGUCGGACACACUGACACUGAAUAACGGGUCAGACUCCUACGGAGGCAGCAGUCGGGAAUUUUGGGCAAUGGGCGAAAGCCUGACCCAGCAACGCCGCGUGAAGGAUGAAGUA
This 391-nucleotide ribosomal RNA is filed under the name uncultured bacterium. Its description in RNAcentral is "bacterial SSU rRNA". It matches the Rfam family "Bacterial small subunit ribosomal RNA", at positions 32 to 415 of the family's 1533-position model. The record is from RNAcentral.